GACGUAGGAUGCAAGCGUUGUCCGGAAUUAUUGGGCGUAAAGAGUUCGUAGGCGGCAUAAUAAGUCUGGUGUUAAAUCUCGGAGCUCAACUCCGAACAGGCACUGGAUACUAUUAAGCUAGAGUACAGAAGAGGCAAGGGGAAUUCCUAGUGUAGCGGUGAAAUGCGUAGAUAUUAGGAGGAACACCAGUGGCGUAAGCGCCUUGCUGGGCUGUUACUGACGCUGAGGAACGAAAGCCAGGGGAGCAAAUGGG
RNAcentral lists this ribosomal RNA (253 nucleotides) under uncultured bacterium. Its description in RNAcentral is "partial 16S ribosomal RNA". It matches the Rfam family "Bacterial small subunit ribosomal RNA", at positions 524 to 776 of the family's 1533-position model. The record is from RNAcentral.